Prolemur simus (greater bamboo lemur) is the source of this 95-nucleotide unclassified non-coding RNA. It matches the Rfam family "Y RNA". Rfam says of the family: Y RNAs are components of the Ro ribonucleoprotein particle (Ro RNP), in association with Ro60 and La proteins. The Y RNAs and Ro60 and La proteins are well conserved, but the function of the Ro RNP is not known. Lineage: Eukaryota; Metazoa; Chordata; Mammalia; Primates; Lemuridae. The record is from Ensembl.
GGCUUGUCUGACAGUAGGCGGUUAUUGGAACUUAUUAACAUUAGUGUCAGUAAAGUUGGUAUUCAACUCUCCACUGUUAAAUUUGACUGGCAAAA